GACGAACGCUGGCGGCGUGCUUAACACAUGCAAGUCGAACGAUGAACCCGGAGCUUGCUCUGGGGGAUUAGUGGCGAACGGGUGAGUAACACGUGAGUAACCUGCCCUGGACUCUGGGAUAAGCGUUGGAAACGACGUCUAAUACCGGAUAGGACCUUGGAUCGCAUGAUCUGGGGUGGAAAGUUUUUUCGGUCUGGGAUGGACUCGCGGCCUAUCAGCUUGUUGGUGGGGUAAUGGCUCACCAAGGCGUCGACGGGUAGCCGGCCUGAGAGGGUGACCGGCCACACUGGGACUGAGACACGGCCCAGACUCCUACGGGAGGCAGCAGUGGGGAGUAUUGCACAAUGGGCGAAAGCCUGAUGCAGCAACGCCGCGUGCGGGAUGACGGCCUUCGGGUUGUAAACCGCUUUUAGUAGGGAAGAAGGGCUUCGGCUUGACGGUACCUGCAGAAAAAGGACCGGCUAACUACGUG
Molecule: ribosomal RNA, 472 nt
Filed under: uncultured bacterium
Lineage: Bacteria
Description: partial 16S ribosomal RNA
Rfam family: Bacterial small subunit ribosomal RNA
Source: RNAcentral